CCAACGGCCCUCUUUAGGGCCACAUGUUCUAUCGAAUACUACUAG
Non-coding RNA from Ancylostoma duodenale, 45 nucleotides. Lineage: Eukaryota; Metazoa; Nematoda; Chromadorea; Rhabditida; Ancylostomatidae. The record is from Rfam.